AGCGAACGCUGGCGGCAGGCUUAACACAUGCAAGUCGAACGGGCACUUCGGUGUCAGUGGCAGACGGGUGAGUAACACGUGGGAACGUACCUUUUGGUUCGGAACAACUGAGGGAAACUUCAGCUAAUACCGGAUAAGCCCUUACGGGGAAAGAUUUAUCGCCGAAAGAUCGGCCCGCGUCUGAUUAGCUAGUUGGUAGGGUAAUGGCCUACCAAGGCGACGAUCAGUGGCUGGUCUGAGAGGAUGAUCAGCCACAUUGGGACUGAGACACGGCCCAAACUCCUACGGGAGGCAGCAGUGGGGAAUAUUGGACAAUGGGGGCAACCCUGAUCCAGCCAUGCCGCGUGAGUGAUGAAGGCCCUAGGGUUGUAAAGCUCUUUUGUACGGGAAGAUAAUGACGGUACCGUAAGAAUAAGCCCCGGCUAACUUCGUGCCAGCCGCCGCGGUAA
This 449-nucleotide ribosomal RNA is filed under the name uncultured bacterium. Its description in RNAcentral is "partial 16S ribosomal RNA". It matches the Rfam family "Bacterial small subunit ribosomal RNA", at positions 29 to 523 of the family's 1533-position model. The record is from RNAcentral.